RNAcentral lists this ribosomal RNA (216 nucleotides) under uncultured bacterium. RNAcentral's name for it is "partial 16S ribosomal RNA". It matches the Rfam family "Bacterial small subunit ribosomal RNA", at positions 328 to 539 of the family's 1533-position model. The record is from RNAcentral.
ACGCUCGACACCUACUGGAGGCAGCAGUGAGGAAUAUUGGUCAAUGGGCGCUAGCCUGAACCAGCCAAGUAGCGUGAAGGAUGAAGGCUCUAUGGGUCGUAAACUUCUUUUAUAUAAGAAUAAAGUGCAGUAUGUAUACUGUUUUGUAUGUAUUAUAUGAAUAAGGAUCGGCUAACUCCGUGCUAGCAGCCGCGUAAUCUGAGCGGGCUGCAAGGC